RNAcentral lists this ribosomal RNA (254 nucleotides) under uncultured bacterium. Its description in RNAcentral is "partial 16S ribosomal RNA". It matches the Rfam family "Bacterial small subunit ribosomal RNA", at positions 524 to 776 of the family's 1533-position model. The record is from RNAcentral.
UACGUAGGGGGCAAGCGUUGUCCGGAAUCAUUGGGCGUAAAGAGCGUGUAGGCGGCCCGGUAAGUCCGCUGUGAAAGUCGGGGGCUCAACCCUCGAAUGCCGGUGGAUACUGUCGGGCUAGAGUGCGGAAGAGGCGAGUGGAAUUCCUGGUGUAGCGGUGAAAUGCGCAGAUAUCAGGAGGAACACCAGUGGCGGAAGGCGGUGCUCUGGGCCGGAACUGACGCUGAGGAGCGAAAGCGUGGGGAGCAAACAGG